RNAcentral lists this ribosomal RNA (782 nucleotides) under uncultured bacterium. RNAcentral's name for it is "bacterial SSU rRNA". It matches the Rfam family "Bacterial small subunit ribosomal RNA", at positions 8 to 815 of the family's 1533-position model. The record is from RNAcentral.
AGAGUUUGAUCAUGGCUCAGGAUGAACGCUGGCGGCGUGCUCUAUACACAUGCAAGUCGAGCGAUCUUCUUCAGAAGAGAGCGGCGGACGGGUGAGUAAUCGCGUGGGUAACCUGCCUCAUACACAUGGAUAACAUACCGAAAGGUAUGCUAAUACAAGAUAAUAUAAGAGAUUCGCAUGGAUUUCUUAUCAAAGCUCCGGCGGUAUGAGAUGGGCCCGCGUCUGAUUAGCUAGUUGGUAAGGUAACGGCUUACCAAGGCGACGAUCAGUAGCCGACCUGAGAGGGUGAUCGGCCACAUUGGAACUGAGACACGGUCCAAACUCCUACGGGAGGCAGCAGUGGGGAAUAUUGCACAAUGGGCGAAAGCCUGAUGCAGCAACGCCGCGUGAGCGAUGAAGGCCUUCGGGUCGUAAAGCUCUGUCCUCAAGGAAGAUAAUGACGGUACUUGAGGAGGAAGCCCCGGCUAACUACGUGCCAGCAGCCGCGGUAAUACGUAGGGGGCUAGCGUUAUCCGGAUUUACUGGGCGUAAAGGGUGCGUAGGUGGUUUCUUAAGUCAGGAGUGAAAGGCUACGGCUCAACCGUAGUAAGCUCUUGAAACUGGGAAACUUGAGUGCAGGAGAGGAAAGUGGAAUUCCUAGUGUAGCGGUGAAAUGCGUAGAUAUUAGGAGGAACACCAGUAGCGAAGGCGGCUUUCUGGACUGUAACUGACACUGAGGCACGAAAGCGUGGGGAGCAAACAGGAUUAGAUACCCUGGUAGUCCACGCCGUAAACGAUGAGUA